Ancylostoma duodenale is the source of this 183-nucleotide non-coding RNA. The record is from Rfam. NCBI's taxonomy places the organism in Eukaryota, Metazoa, Nematoda, Chromadorea, Rhabditida, Ancylostomatidae.
GAAAUCAUACUAUACAGAAUCAUUUCUGUAGUGUGUAUUUCGCAAUCCCAACCAAAAAGCGACACCUGUCCACCGCGAUGAACGGGAGACGGGCGAGUUGCGAGCGGGAAGAACGCGACUUGUGGCGCUGAGGACCGUGACGCGGCCGAAAGGACGCGUCGGCGACUCGCUCUUCUGAGCGGU